GGGCUCAGCUCAUACUGCUUAUCAACACCUUCGCACAGACUGUGGCUACUGAAGGAGGUGGGGGCAACACUGCAGUCAAGAGGGUCACUGACUUGACAUAAGCUGAAUGGUACAAAGCAAAGACAUCCAACUGCAUCAGUCAUGCAUCUGGAAAGCCCUAGCACGUCUCUGGGAGGCAGUUUCCUGUUUGUAGAAGAAGAAGGAGAGACUUCCUCAGAGCGGCUGCUCGCUGGACACACUGUUCUGACUUUGCACAAUCACAGGAACCCAGGGGGCAGCGGAGAGGAGCCUUUGCACUCCAAACUUUUGCAGAUACACAAGCAGGCGCAAACUUAAUGGACAAAGCAGAGUAUGCUCACUCAUUCAGAAGGGCAUACAUACGAGUGCAGGACAAAUUACCCCGACAUAUGCAUACACAAGAGCGAGCCACUUCUGCAUGCACACACAUACAAAUGUCUGUUUUCUGCAUUACACGCUCUCCAGUUCUAAUUUACUGCUGGUACACUGCGGCGAGGAAAUUAUGAGUAUUCCAGCUGCGCCCCAAAGCAGCAGAGCCCUAAGUAAGUUCUUCAAAAUGUUCGCUCCUCUGAUAGGAGUAGCCAAAACAUCCUGUUUGAAUAAAUAUAUAGAGCUAUAUUUUUCUACAAAGCAAAUAUUGUGCCCCUUUUUUCCCCUGAAGGUUUUUCUAGCAGCACCUUGUUUCCUAUCACGUAUUUCCUUUAGGAUAAUAUGAAAUGUAAAAAAGAUAAAACUUUCUUUUUACCUAAAAAGACCACUGAAAUUCUAUAUUAAUAUGGAAAUAUUUCACGCUAUUUGAAAUGUGGAAGCCAUAAUCUAUGUGGCAAUGCUGCCUCUGCCUAUUAUGUGAUGACACAUUAUUUAUUCAGCCUGUCAGUGGCUUCAUCUAGUACAAUCCAGUAUUGGGUGCACCCACCGUACGCCUGAGGUGCCAAACACUGUUCGCUCCCGUACACAAACACUGACAACCACAAAGUACACGUGCACACAGAAUGCCACACAUCAUGAGAGCCGACCUCUCAUGAUGAAAACAUCCUGUGGCGUGUCUAACCCUUCUGUUCGCACAAGGCCGGGCUGGAGCCAUCGCUACUUUAGAUAUCCAGUUACAGAGGGACAUUGUGUGUCAUAACACAACAGCACAGUGGCACCUCCAUAGGUAACACGCAUAAACACUACACAAGGCUUUAUCACUGUUCGGAUUUGAACUCUUUUUCAGAGUGCUGAUCCUUUCACAGUUCAGAGCGAGAGACUGCUUGGAGUGGAGAUGCACAGACACUUAUCCAUCACUUACAAACAUUAAUCUAUUUUAUGCUUUAAGUUUGAUGUCUGAUUGGAGUUGAGCGUCUAGUGUUUCACAAAUGGAGAGGCUCUUACCGACACUUUAACAGCACAGAGUGAAAGUGAACCUUGCUGUAUAGUGCAGAGUAUAUAACAGCUCAUCCCCUGCUUUAGUGUAUUAGCCCUGACUCUGCUAGAUCUCCUUACCCUGAGUUGACGUUUGAAUUCAGCUGGACAGGGGGCAAGUAAGACCAGACGGACUGAGCAGCAAACAUCAGGCCCCUGGCUAAGGACGCACCAAUAUAUUAUUAGAAUUCGGUGUCUGUUAUCAGCUGAUAUCUGCUUUGAAAACGUCAUCAGUGUAAGGCCAAUAACAUAUUUGACAUGUUGGGAAAGAAGCAUUUUAUUCCUAAAUGUAGCUUGUGUCACUGUCAUGUUUGCACAUUUUUAACAUGGAUAACUCAAUCUCUAUACAACAGAAAAGUCUGAAAUCCUUACCCUCCUUUGCAGGCUCUUGCGCAAAUUAAUUUAAAUAUUAUUUAAACUGGAAAAAGGGCAAUAUCCAAAUCGCAGGAGCUGCAGUAAUUUAAUAAAGGCAAAGUUUGUCACAACAUACCGUUAUAAAUAAAGCAUUGUGGUGCUACAGAGAAGACCUGGCCUACAAAUCAUAUUCCAGAUAUAAGGGAACUUCACUGUUCAGUACAUACCCUCGCAAAAAAUGUGAUGCAAAAAUUAUCAUUCACACUAAAAUUUCUAUUUCAUAUUACAGUAUCUGUCAAAAUAUAUAUUUCCACUAUACAUAUAUUGUGCAACCCUAGUACAGUUAUCUGUUGAUAUAUUGGUGCAUCCCUAUUCUUGGCCUCACGCCUUACAGUGUGUUUCCAAAACAGACACUUCUGCUAUUUCACACAGCUUUUGACAGCAGAAUUAAAUCUCAUGAUGUAAGAAAGUGAGUCAUCCUAAGGAGAGUGAAUGACCUAAGGCUAAAUGCACCAUCACUGGUCUCCUUCCUCGUGUUUAUUUCCCAUGCAGACAGUGCUAACACACUGCGUAGAUGGCUGAUUCAGUCUUCUGGGGAGGACAUCUGGUUGGGUUCAGACAGCAGUGUGGACGCUUGCACACAUCAAGGGAAGCAGUCCCACAUCCAGCUCUUAUUAACAGUGUCAUGUCCUUAAGCUUGGUUGUCUGAUUCAUUCAUAAAAGACUGUGCUCAUUGUCUGUCUGCACAGCCAGCUGAUUAGAUUUGUGUGUUAGUUAAUGUGAUUUUCUCUCUUUGCAGCAUUCCUGUGCCAUAACUGAUAAAGAGCAAGUUAAAAGAGAAGCAUGGGGAAGGGUUAAAAGUUAAAUUAAAUCGACAAGCUUUGGAGUUAAGGUGAAAAAAGCCCAACAGAAAUGUGU
Long non-coding RNA from Epinephelus fuscoguttatus (brown-marbled grouper), 2694 nucleotides. RefSeq lists it as uncharacterized. Lineage: Eukaryota; Metazoa; Chordata; Actinopteri; Perciformes; Serranidae. The record is from RefSeq and is a predicted model, not a curated record. The transcript has 3 exons.